UACGGAGGAUGCAAGCGUUAUCCGGAAUGAUUGGGCGUAAAGCGUCCGCAGGUGGCUAUGUAAGUCUGCUGUUAAAGAGCGAGGCUCAACCUCAUAAGAGCAGUGGAAACUACAUAGCUAGAGUGCGUUCGGGGCAGAGGGAAUUCCUGGUGUAGCGGUGAAAUGCGUAGAUAUCAGGAAGAACACCGGUGGCGAAAGCGCUCUGCUAGGCCGCAACUGACACUGAGGGACGAAAGCUAGGGGAGCGAAUGGG
Molecule: ribosomal RNA, 253 nt
Filed under: uncultured bacterium
Lineage: Bacteria
Description: partial 16S ribosomal RNA
Rfam family: Bacterial small subunit ribosomal RNA
Source: RNAcentral